Molecule: ribosomal RNA, 489 nt
Filed under: uncultured bacterium
Lineage: Bacteria
Description: partial 16S ribosomal RNA
Rfam family: Bacterial small subunit ribosomal RNA
Source: RNAcentral
UUGAACGCUGGCGGCAGGCCUAACACAUGCAAGUCGAACGGUAACAGGAGGCAGCUUGCUGCUUCGCUGACGAGUGGCGGACGGGUGAGUAAUGUCUGGGAAACUGCCUGAUGGAGGGGGAUAACUACUGGAAACGGUAGCUAAUACCGCAUAACGUCGCAAGACCAAAGAGGGGGACCUUAGGGCCUCUUGCCAUCGGAUGUGCCCAGAUGGGAUUAGCUAGUAGGUGGGGUAACGGCUCACCUAGGCGACGAUCCCUAGCUGGUCUGAGAGGAUGACCAGCCACACUGGAACUGAGACACGGUCCAGACUCCUACGGGAGGCAGCAGUGGGGAAUAUUGCACAAUGGGCGCAAGCCUGAUGCAGCCAUGCCGCGUGUAUGAAGAAGGCCUUCGGGUUGUAAAGUACUUUCAGCGGGGAGGAAGGGAGUAAAGUUAAUACCUUUGCUCAUUGACGUUACCCGCAGAAGAAGCACCGGCUAACUCCGUG